Terrapene triunguis (Three-toed box turtle) is the source of this 602-nucleotide long non-coding RNA. RefSeq lists it as uncharacterized. Lineage: Eukaryota; Metazoa; Chordata; Testudines; Emydidae. The record is from RefSeq and is a predicted model, not a curated record. The transcript is spliced from 4 exons.
AAAGAUGGAGGGGGAAUACACAAGCAAUGAACUACCAAAAGUCUGGAAGACAGAAUUUACAAAACUGCGUCCAAUCAUACCUGUUUUCCUUAUAUCUGGAUUGUCCCUACUUAUACUGGUGAAAAAACACUCAGUUCCUUGGGAAAAAUGCGCCUUUGUCACUAUAAUAUUGAGCAUAACAACAGCAGUGGCUGGAACAAUUUAUUAUUCUCUGGAGUUUGCUUUGAUUAGAUCGCCUCAGAGCCCCUUUCCUCAUGACACCAGUGAUCCUGAAAGAUUGGCACUAGCCUACAGAGUGGACUCAGCAGAACUUGGAUUAGCAGCCUUUGAGGUAGGAGUCUCUGUCUGGAUUUUGUGCCUGCUGCAGCGAGCAAGGAAGACAUUAAGGCAGUAGCUCUCAUUGUCAAAAAUAUCAUCUUUUUCAACAGGCUGCUGCCAUUGAUUUUGUUUUAUGGGGAUUGUUCAAUUUGUUUUAUGGGGAUUGUGUGCCGGUGUCAGCACUAUUUAGCACGUAAGGGCCAUAGUCAAAACUCAUAUUUAAAUACAUGUAUGUUGGUACAUGCCACAUAUAUUUAGCUUGAUCUUACUUCCACUGAAGUCAA